UGAAAACAUGGACCGACCAACCAACUGGAGCACCCACAAGGCUCUUGUGAAGGAAGUCCACAAGCCUUUGUGCUUCAGGAUGGAUGGAAAGAACUCUUUGAUCAACCCCCAAAGAGAGCUGAGGUGGCUAUCUUUUGGAGACACCCCCGGCUGGUAGUGCUGCUGAAACUGGUGGAGGCAACAAUGAAGUGGCAACAGAAAGAGAAGGCAGGUGGCAAAGGUUGCUGCUAUUCAAAAAUUCUUUGAGAGUGAGUGUGUGUGCAUGUAUGUAGCUGGGUAGGUCAUGGUACAUGGUACAAAAAUACAGAAUGUAAAGCACUAGCACAACACUUAACUCACAACUACUGACAAUGGAAUUACUCUUUUAGAGUGAGUGAGUUAGG
This is a long non-coding RNA of Alosa alosa (allis shad), 383 nucleotides long. RefSeq lists it as uncharacterized. The transcript has 3 exons. NCBI's taxonomy places the organism in Eukaryota, Metazoa, Chordata, Actinopteri, Clupeiformes, Clupeidae. The record is from RefSeq and is a predicted model, not a curated record.